AGUGAAGAUGACGUAGCACAACCCCUAUAAAUAGGACGUCGCUCUUGUGUGACGUCCUUCGUGGAGACGGUUCCUUAGUGAUUGCCUUCCCUUCUCAACAUGAGGGCUAAGUGGAGAAAGAAGCGCAUGCGCAGGCUGAAGCGUAAAAGGAGAAAGAUGAGGCAGAGGUCCAAAUAAACUGUCCUCUCCGCCGUGGCUGUGACAGCAACACGUUGCCAACAACCAGACCGGUGAACUCAGCUGAAGACCCAGGACCCUCCCGGUGUCAAGUCUGUCCGCGGCGCCCAUAUCGACCAGAGGCAGCGGAGCUGCAGCAGCUGAAUGAUGCUGGAGAGCGAUUCAAGACCUGCUGGAUGACAGGCUUUUCUUCUGGGACAUUCUGGACUCUUACUCUUAAUUCCUCAACUUUUGUCUUUUGUUUAUACUGUGAUUAAAGGUUUUGGUUUAUAAAUACUUUAAACAA
Molecule: long non-coding RNA, 463 nt
Organism: Epinephelus lanceolatus (giant grouper)
Lineage: Eukaryota; Metazoa; Chordata; Actinopteri; Perciformes; Serranidae
Source: RefSeq, a predicted model, not a curated record